RNAcentral lists this long non-coding RNA (3613 nucleotides) under Capsicum annuum. Its description in RNAcentral is "long non-coding RNA (CANN_LNC018818)". The record is from RNAcentral. Lineage: Eukaryota; Viridiplantae; Streptophyta; Magnoliopsida; Solanales; Solanaceae.
AGGGUGCCCGGGAGCUUGAGCGUCUGAACCUAUGGUAUAAAACAAGAUAACACAAAAGAAAAGUAUGCGUCAGUACGUGUGAAUGUACUGGUACGCAAAGUGGGGUAAGGCUGAAUACAAGGGUUCAUGUGCAUAAGCAAGAAUAACUGAAUAACAUGAGAAUGACUGAAUAAAAGUACAUGCAUGAAUACAUGCACUCUAACUGAAAUCGUGAUAAUACUAAAUACUAAGUUUGAAUACCGAUUAAAUGAUGUAACUGAUAACUGAUAUACUAUUUACCGAGUGACUGUGCCUGACAGUCCUAAUUCUGAUGGAAUUAGCUGAGUACCGUACUGCUGAGUGACUGUAUCUGAAAAUCCUGAAAUCUGUAGAACUAUCUGAGUUCUUUACUGAAGGCUGAGACUGAUACUGUGGGAGGUAAUCAUCUAACCGACAUGCUCUUUUUUCUGAAUAGAUUUGGGGUCCAACCUGUUACCCCAGUUAGAAGGGUGUCAGUACCGUGCCACGGGUAAAGACAAGCUGUGAGUUAACCCUUUCUGAUAGGGAGCACAUCCGUCAACCCCUCACUAGUAGGAGAACUCAAAUGAAAUGUAUUAACCCUAGAAUCGUAGGGAUAUAUCUCAACCUAUGCUGGCUAAGUAGUUAUAGAACGGAAGGAUUGCUUCUAAAGAUCACACCCUCUGUUGGCAAGUGAACCCCCAUCCUUGGGUUCACUCUAUGCUGAAUCCUAAUCCUAACUGAAUAGACACUGGACUAAUUUUCUAGUUCAUACUAGGCCUGACUGAACUGCUACUGAUUGUAUUGAUUAACUGAACUGAACUGAGUUUACUGAGUUUUUCUUAGUUUUGUAACUGAACUAGAGUACUACUGAUCCUGACAUGACUGAGAGUGUUCUGUAACUGACACUGACUUUAGGCACACAACUAAAUUUUCGAGUAUUAAAUACCCCAGGACUCGAUAGAAUAAUAAAAUAUGAUAAUUCUUGAACACUUGACAAUAGUCAACAACUCAAAAUACAUUCUAUGAGGCAUUUCAUCAAUCACUUGAAAGUCAUGAGCUUGCACAUGAAUAGGAAGGCAUGCUAACAUAUCAUAAUUUCAUUAAACCAAUCUCAUGAACAUUCCAUCAAACACAUACAAGGUGUAGAUUUAGCAUGGAAGCCAUUGUGAACACCUGGGUAUAGCAUAAGUUCAUCAUUUAGACCACCAAAGGAUCAUAAAAGCACCAUAAUGUCAAUUUAGCAUUUUAUCAAACACAUGGUAGGCAUAGCUUUAUAUUUGGGCAUGAACAACAAUGCUAUUAUAUCAUGACUUCAUAAUUAAAGGGUUUCAAUAUAAGAGAAUCAAAAUUCAACUUACACGCUAUCAUAAUAUCAAGAAAUACAUAAAGAUUUUAACUUGGAACACAUACCAUAACAUCAACAUGAUUACAUUCAAACCCACAACAUGGAAAUCACAAUUCAUGUUUUUAAAAGAAGUUUCUUGAACUCCAAGGGUGGAACGGACCCUUGGAUGAACACUUUACAUACCUUGGAACUUGAGGAUCAACCUAUGAGUACCCACUAUUUCAAACUGGAUUUGUUACGUGAGAAGGAAAAAACUAGAAGGUCAAGGCUAUGGAAACUCAGGGGAUUAUAGUGCAUCUCCCCGUUGGACACUAUGUCCCAUUGAGAAUGCUGACUUUGCUGAGAUAUUAAGGAAAACUAGGGCGAUGCACAAGGCACCUACGAACUGAAUCGUGACUAAAUAUCUGGGAUCUAAAACUGAGACAUGAUACAUGAACUGAGUUGAACAUGCAAUUACCUGGUUGGUCCAUCUUAGAAUGGUUACAUUCAUGAGAAUUUGGAUAGCAUGAAUAAAUGUAAAGACGGGAAACCAUACGAACUUGUCCGUCUGACUGCUAAACUGAAUCACUGGUUCUGCGGACUAACUUAUGCUGAAAACUUAUACUCGACUGGAGCCUUUUUCUGACACUCUUUCUAUUGAGUUCUAGUCGCUUUAGGGUGGUUAAGGAACACUUGGCAUGGUCUGAAUAAGUUCUGUAAUGUGAGUCAUGGCAUAUGAAACAUAGUCUAAGAUAAAGUAGCUAAGCCUUAUGCACUGCAACUUAAAUUCUCAAGCUUAGAGAUAUCCCUUUAAAAUCCAUUCAACUAUACUCUCCACCUUAGUACAACCCUUCACCUGAGACUACUGAAAGUAUUUGCAUGGGUGCUGAGCAUGAAUGCAUAAGCAUACUAACUUAUCGGAUUAACUGAAUAAUGGAUAUCUGAAUACUGGGUCUGCAAGACUGAACUGUACUUAGCCUGAAUAACUGAACUGAAACCAUAUAGUGUUAUGUAUACAAGGUAAGGACUGAUUGGAUAACAUGAAACAACUGAGCACGAAUUUGUGUAUACGCUAUCUUUAUUUGCUUUGAUGCACACUCAUGAGCAAACAAGGGAACCCCAAUCACACAAGCAAUGGGCAAAGUUACCCAUACCAGUACAUUAGUUAAAAAUUCAACCUUGAAAUCAAGAUGAGGAGUCCACUUUUCAAUUCACCAAUUUAUUGUUGAUAAUGUAUGGUCUAGUAAACAAAAUUUCUUCCAUAUCCGCUUCUGAUUGAAAUUUAAUUUAACUAGGUUGUAACCUUCAUCAUGGUAGUAAAGAUCUGGAGUAGCUACAGAGGUCCAUGUUUCAGCAACAACUUUCUUCAUAUAAUUGUGACCCGGCACAUCUCCAAUCACUUACAAUAUCAGAGAAUGCUUCCGUUUAAGCUCGUCUUCUUUUGUUCCUAUUUAUCUAUCUUCACCACUGAAGCCCCUAGUGUGAUGUAAUUCAAAGCAAUCCAAUUACUAGCCACUCAAUUACCAGCAAAAAGACUAAAUCAAGGGUUCGUUCUAGUCUCUGCAUCACCUUUGUUUCCUAGAUCUUCAGAUUUGUCGUGUAAAACUUGACCACCUUCUGUGUCCACUAAUGGAAAAGUAGUGGUGGAUACGUGAUUCAUUGGCAUUGUUACCUCAGGCGGAGAAAUUGGAGGUCUCGGCAUAACUUGGUUCACUCCUGAGCUCCGAUUAAUACUCUUAGACACAGAAUUGGACGUACUACAUGCUCCGAAAUCAUCUUCCAAUGUGUUUUGAACUCCCCGAUCUCCCGAGUUGCGUAAUUAACUCCUUCCUAGGUCUUUUCGUCGUCGCUGCCCUACCUGACGCACGAUAGCAGAACCUACGCCGAGAGCAUUUUAGAUAGGUGAGAGAAAAUCAAUUUCAUUUAUUUUUAACUAUUUUUUGUUAGAAGUGCUUUUAAAAAAAAAAAGUUAUUUCAGAGACAAAAAAUUUGUAUUUGACUAAUUAAUUUCAAAAAAUAUUUUGGGCAAUGUUAGGGAAGAAUUUAUAUUUGUUCAAGGUUCCAAAAGUGCUUUCAAAGAAAAUUAAUUACUCCCUUCAUUUUUAAAAAAAUAAUCUAAUUUGAAUUGAUACGAACUUAAAAAAAAAAAAAAAACUUUUAAAUUUUAUGAUCUUAAAUUAAAGAUAUGUCAAAUAUAUCAAAAUAUUUUCAAUCUUGUAAUCUUAAACAUGCCAUAUGAAAAGUUAAAAUUUAAAAAUUAAUAAAAAAAAUCAUUCUUUUUUAAACGGA